UAACUGUAAAAAUGCCAUGAAACCUUAGGUGAGAUAAGUAGAACAUAAUUAUCAUUUAAAGAAAAUUAGAGAUAUUUAAACUAUAUAUUAAGUGCCAUAUUCAAAAGAGAAAAUUGAAGGUGAUUUAAGAGAAGGCUUCAAAUACAUGGAGCAGGAAAAAUUGUGUCAUUUGAAGCUGAAUUACUCCUAACAGCAUUAUUAGCUCAAGAUGGGUAAUUGUUAAUUUAUAAGUCAAAGGAUAAAA
This is a long non-coding RNA of Pipistrellus kuhlii (Kuhl's pipistrelle), 244 nucleotides long. RefSeq lists it as uncharacterized. The transcript has 3 exons. NCBI's taxonomy places the organism in Eukaryota, Metazoa, Chordata, Mammalia, Chiroptera, Vespertilionidae. The record is from RefSeq and is a predicted model, not a curated record.